This is a long non-coding RNA of Phyllopteryx taeniolatus (common seadragon), 267 nucleotides long. RefSeq lists it as uncharacterized. The record is from RefSeq and is a predicted model, not a curated record. NCBI's taxonomy places the organism in Eukaryota, Metazoa, Chordata, Actinopteri, Syngnathiformes, Syngnathidae. The transcript is spliced from 3 exons.
CUUGGUGAGGUCUGUUUUUCAACAGUUUUACGUCUUUUGUGACUGAGGCUCCGGCACGCCCGCGACCCUAGUGAGGAGAAGCGGCUCAGAAAAUGGGUGGAUGGAUGGAAUAUAUAAAAUUAUUAUCUCAACAUGCCUCUCUCUCCAGGUCAUUCACUAGGUCCCCCCCUGUGUGGUUCUGAAAUAAACCAUACAAAUCCAUCACCUGGGUUCUGCGCGCCGCGAGCACGGUGAGUCCGAAGAGCAUGGCGGUGAUGCAGAUCAGCA